Molecule: transfer RNA, 121 nt
Rfam family: tRNA
About the family: Transfer RNA (tRNA) molecules are approximately 80 nucleotides in length. Their secondary structure includes four short double-helical elements and three loops (D, anti-codon, and T loops). Further hydrogen bonds mediate the characteristic L-shaped molecular structure. tRNAs have two regions of fundamental functional importance: the anti-codon, which is responsible for specific mRNA codon recognition, and the 3' end, to which the tRNAs corresponding amino acid is attached (by aminoacyl-tRNA synthetases). tRNAs cope with the degeneracy of the genetic code in two manners: having more than one tRNA (with a specific anti-codon) for a particular amino acid; and 'wobble' base-pairing, i.e. permitting non-standard base-pairing at the 3rd anti-codon position.
Source: Rfam
GGAGAGAUAGCUCAGUCGGUAGAGCAGAAGAGUAGAAAAACGCAAACUGACAAGUUUGUAUUCAGCACUCAAAUUCUCAAUGGUAAUCUUUUGGUCGCAAGUUCGAAUCUUGCUCUCUCCA